UUUAUGGGGGUGACUGCGUACCUUUUGUAUAAUGGGUCAGCGACUUAUAUUCUGUAGCAAGGUUAACCGCAUAGGGGAGCCGCAGGGAAACCGAGUCUUAAUUGGGCGCUAAGUUGCAGGGUAUAGACCCGAAACCCGGUGAUCUAGCCAUGGGCAGGUUGAAGGUUGGGUAACACUAACUGGAGGACCGAACCGACUAAUGUUGAAAAA
RNAcentral lists this ribosomal RNA (210 nucleotides) under Pantoea sp. Acro-807. RNAcentral's name for it is "partial 23S ribosomal RNA". It matches the Rfam family "Bacterial large subunit ribosomal RNA", at positions 584 to 796 of the family's 2925-position model. The record is from RNAcentral. Lineage: Bacteria; Pseudomonadati; Pseudomonadota; Gammaproteobacteria; Enterobacterales; Erwiniaceae.